This 862-nucleotide long non-coding RNA is filed under the name Vigna radiata. RNAcentral describes it as "long non-coding RNA (VRAD_LNC001553)". The record is from RNAcentral. Lineage: Eukaryota; Viridiplantae; Streptophyta; Magnoliopsida; Fabales; Fabaceae.
GUGACACCCGGGCACUGACGAGGGCGGGGAGUGAUCGCCGGUGCAAGAAGCAUGGUGCAGGGGGCACAGACAAGGAGCGGCUCCUAGCAGGCUUCGAGUGGAAGGGGCACAUGGACGAAUCGAACAUACACCAGAAUGAGAGGGAUCUGGAGACUGUAUAGGUAUGGGACUAUACAGUUGAAGGAUAACUUUGAUUUGGCUACCCAUAUCACCAAAAUGCAUUUACUUUUCGGUAGCCUAACCCUUAAGAACUUCAUGGUUAAGCGUGCUUAGCCUGGAGAAAUUCUGGGAUGGGUGACCUUCUGGGAAGUUUUCCCGGAAAGUGUGCGAGUGAGGACAAAGCACACUGGAAAGUCUCGUGGUGAUGUGUGAGGGCAGUCAACAGUCCCUGUAAGUUGCCGGGGCGUUACAUACAUCAUGUAUACCAUACCAAAAGAGAAAGGAAAAAGAAACACUUUGUGUAAAGGGAAAAAGACAAUAAAGGGAAAUAUCUUGUUCUUUAAAAAUAUAAUGAAAUGUGGUGUAGAUGUGUAAAUGAUAUAUGAAAAUUUAGUUGAUUUAUGAAGGUUUUAUUUACAUGAUUUAAUUUAAAAAUGAAAUUUAAUAAUCAUAAAAAGGGAAAAUAUAUAACACCGCGGGUUGUUAUGUGUGGCUGAGGGAGAGUAUUGAGACGAGAGAAAAACAAAUUGGAUAAGUGAAGAAGGUGAAGGUGAAUUAGGGUUAGGUAAGGGUUUCUGAUUUUUUUUUUCCAAUUGGGGCAGCAGUAGAGAUGACAGAGAAAAUGUUGGAGUGGAGUGAGAGAGAUGAAAGAGAAAGGGUUGAGAGGAAUGAGGGGUGAGUAAGGGUUUGAGGUUUUUUUUUU